UACAGAGGGUGCGAGCGUUGUCCGGAUUGACUGGGCGUAAAGCGCACGCAGGCGGAGGCGCGCGUGGGGUGUGAAAUCUGGCCGCUUAACGGCCAGGCGCCAUCCCAUACGGCGCCUCUGGAGGGCUGCAGAGGUCGAUGGAAUUGCCGGUGUAGUGGUGAAAUGCGUAGAGAUCGGCAGGAACACCCAGGGGGAAACCAGUCGACUGGGCAGCACCUGACGCUGAGGUGCGAGAGCGUGGGGAGCGAACCGG
This 253-nucleotide ribosomal RNA is filed under the name uncultured bacterium. RNAcentral's name for it is "partial 16S ribosomal RNA". It matches the Rfam family "Bacterial small subunit ribosomal RNA", at positions 524 to 776 of the family's 1533-position model. The record is from RNAcentral.